UGGGGAAUUUUGGACAAUGGGCGCAAGCCUGAUCCAGCAAUGCCGCGUGCAGGAUGAAGGCCUUCGGGUUGUAAACUGCUUUUGUACGGAACGAAACGGCUCUGUCUAAUACAUGGGGCUAAUGACGGUACCGUAAGAAUAAGCACCGGCUAACUACGUGCCAGCAGCCGCGGUAAUACGUAGGGUGCAAGCGUUAAUCGGAAUUACUGGGCGUAAAGCGUGCGCAGGCGGUGAUGUAAGACAGGUGUGAAAUCCCCGGGCUUAACCUGGGAAUUGCAUUUGUGACUGCAUCGCUGGAGUGCGGCAGAGGGGGAUGGAAUUCCGCGUGUAGCAGUGAAAUGCGUAGAUAUGCGGAGGAACACCGAUGGCGAAGGCAAUCCCCUGGACCUGUACUGACGCUCAUGCACGAAAGCGUGGGGAGCAAACA
Molecule: ribosomal RNA, 427 nt
Filed under: uncultured bacterium
Lineage: Bacteria
Description: bacterial SSU rRNA
Rfam family: Bacterial small subunit ribosomal RNA
Source: RNAcentral